CUCGCUUUCUCCACGCCACACGGUACUGCGCUUAGGGGCCAGCAUAUCUAUGCACCAUUUCUUGCCUAUUACCGGAGAAAGGAGAAGUCAUCUAGGAUACCGCUCCUCCCACAAGAAUUGGCACAGAGUCAGAACUCGAUCUUGGUUGAAGGACUUAAAUUGACAGCGGUACAGUGCCCACUUUCCCCACACAAGGAGAUUUUAUGUUUAAGUCCUCUCUACACCCAACGUGAGGCUCAAACUCACAGCCCUGAGAUCAAGAGUCACAUAUUCUACCGACUGAGCUGGCAGGUACCCCCAAAGAAUUCUUUGAAAAACUUUUAUUGAUAUGUAAUUCACAUACCAUAUAAUAAUUCUUUUUCGUAAUAUUAUGCCGUCUUGUAGUAUCUUGCUCUCCUUGUAAGUCUGAAAAUUCCCAUUUGUUCUGUCAAUAGUCCUGAGAAGCCUGACUUAAAGGUCUUUAUUCUUUCUGUAAAAAAUAAAAGCACUUUUCAGUCUAUGUGAUCA
This 507-nucleotide long non-coding RNA is filed under the name Ursus maritimus (polar bear). RNAcentral's name for it is "lncRNA (ENSUMAG00000003856.1)". Lineage: Eukaryota; Metazoa; Chordata; Mammalia; Carnivora; Ursidae. The record is from RNAcentral.